GGGGGGGGUCAGAGGUCGGGGUGGGGGGCAUAACAACGUCCUCUAGUGAAAGCUGCUGUUUUCUGAUGUUGACGUUUGGAUAAAAGAGUCGCGCUGCACGCGGUGGGACGCGGCCAGAACAAAGAGCCAGAGUGCAGUAUUUCCUGUGAGGGGAAACUUUAGAUACUAUUUCAAAUACUCCUCUCUUCUCCUCUUUGUGCGUACUCUGCGUUUCCUCGUCCUCGCUCUUCUGUUCGCGCCGUCGGCCCAAAUGAAAGAUGAAUGUACGGCACUGAGAAUAUAAAGAAUAUAAAUAAUAAAACUAAUCAAAGACGCAACGUUUUAUUUAAGUUUUGUUUUACCGAAGCUUUUGCCAAUACUGUGUGCCUCAAACACACUCGUUCAUUCCUCUUGUUGUUGUUGUUGUUGUUGCCUUGUACAGUAUACGAGCUGAGAAGAGAUGUUUCAGAAAGGGAAGUGAAUAUUACAUUUUUGUAAAAGCUGGGAAUCAUUAUAUUAUUAUUAUUAUUAUUAUCAUCUUUGUGUCUGUUCGGUGUCUUUUUCUUUCCCGGAUGGUUCUCACCAAAAAAACGAGUGGAUUUAAAAGUGUCCCUGAAGCACAUUUAUUUGAUCUUUGAUAUUUCUCCUCCGAUCGCCACAUUGCACACGUUGUCUUCUUUCUUUUGUCGCUAUUUAUGUUACGUCCUUUUAGCAUGUCCUGGAAUGCCAUGUUCUUAGUACUUCUGACACUUGGUAGUGUGAUACGUUUUAUAAUAAAUUCUUUUCCUAACAUGGUUACUUCAUUGAUUAUUGUUAAAUGAAAUGUUACAGGUCUUUGUAGACGUGGCGAAACAAUUAAAACAAAGUCAACAAAAAUGCAUUUCUCUCCCAAUAGUUCACUUUUUCCUCUGAUAUUUUCUUGUCUUCUUCCCAAUUACUGAAAUGAUUUGAAAAGUCAAAUGAAACAAAUAGAAAUUCAAUUUAAGCAACUGCUGACAAAUGUCUAAGUUCAAAGAUCCAACAUGUUGAGUAAAAGAUCAGAACACAGAUCAAUAGUUCGAUCACUUUCUCCGCCUUUUAUUCUCUGUACGAGGGACAAACAAAACAACAUCCUGUUUCUGUUGUCGUCCGGAUUAGAUUCUAAGUUCAUCGUCUGAUCUCUCAUCUGAUUUGUUUGUGAUUAGAUGAAUAUAUCAAAUAGACAUUGGAGCCGUUGGUGUUUUAUUUUUUAUUUCACUGUAAACGAGAGCCAAUGACGUUCCCCGUGCCAUUUAUGAUAUUUUAGAAUAUUUUUUUACAAAUGAAAAAUUAGUGUAAUUAUCUUUUAACAUGACAUUUUAUGCCACUGAAUUUUCUUUUCUUCCUUUUUUACACAUUAAAGAAAGAAAUACUCUGCCCCUUAAAUAAAAGAUUCUACCCUUAAUUUUUUCCUAUCUUGUUUUAUAAUUAUUUACAAAUUAUAUAUCGUUAUAUUUUUGUGGUGGAAACUAACGAGUUUGGUCUGAAAUGAUUGUGUUUACAAAAUCAAAGAAUAAAGAAAAGACAAAACACUUG
Gasterosteus aculeatus aculeatus (three-spined stickleback) is the source of this 1533-nucleotide long non-coding RNA. The record is from Ensembl. NCBI's taxonomy places the organism in Eukaryota, Metazoa, Chordata, Actinopteri, Perciformes, Gasterosteidae.